AUAAUAUUAUAUGAUGUUUUAUCAUUGUAUAUAUUACAUGUUUUAGUAAUUAAAAUACAAUAUUUCACGUCAUAUAUACAAAAUACAAUGAAAUAUGUACACUUGAAUUUGGCUAUAUAAACUCUAAAACCUGCAGUUUUCAACAAGCAUCAUGGCUAAGCAGACACUUUUUAAGGACUUAUUAGUGUCCGUUAUUUGCAGAGUUAACUGUUUUCAACAAUAAAUUAAAUAAACGAUAACAUUUAGACAUUUAACUGUGAGAUGCUGUACGAGAUUUCCGCCAUAACAAAGAAUUAAUAUUGAUUCGUUAAUGUUGGGCCAAAACAUUUUAGCCAUCAACGAAACUAAGAUAUUAAGGAUUCGUGUGAAAGUGAAAAAAUGAUUAAUUGCAUCGUUAUACAUUUAUAAUUUAUAAUCAAU
Molecule: non-coding RNA, 420 nt
Organism: Cinara cedri
Lineage: Eukaryota; Metazoa; Arthropoda; Insecta; Hemiptera; Aphididae
Source: the annotation of a GenBank genome assembly